Molecule: unclassified non-coding RNA, 369 nt
Filed under: Hevea brasiliensis (rubber tree)
Lineage: Eukaryota; Viridiplantae; Streptophyta; Magnoliopsida; Malpighiales; Euphorbiaceae
Source: RNAcentral
GUUUUUUUUUUUUUCCAAGAUAUAGUAUAAUGACCAUUACAUUACAUAAAACAUUUAUUAUUUAAUCAAGCAAUGCAUCAUACAAUAUAACCGGAUUCAAUUACAAUUUAAUCAAGUCCUUACCAAACAUUACUAAACAUAUCCGCAACCAUGGCCAUGAACCUCCAAAGUCUGAAGAGCGCAUAUCAAAAUUCAACACAAAUGUAAAUUCUAAAAUUUGUAUGAAUUCCAUUUAGAGGAAGUAACCGUUACUGCAUAUCCAGCCAAAAUUUAAUAUAAUGAUGUACGAUGAAUUAGCACCGCAUACAACAGAAUCACAAGAAGACACCAUUGCCACAUACAAGAUAGGUUUUCGAUACUUCACGGUAU